AAGUAUCGCAGGUUGUCUGGUACGCCGAGUCUCUCUACGGGAGGGCGUGUGAGUGGCAUUUGGGAUGUUUGUGCUGUCUGGCUCCAUGGUCGUGGUCAUCGAACUUUCAGCACACAGCCCUUGUCAUGUUCGCCUUGUGUCAUUUUGGCCCGGCGUUCGAUUAUGGUUCUUGUGUUGCCUACCUGUUAAGUGGUAUUCACGUGCCUCUUAUGACCCGUUCCAUCCAGACCCCUCGAGAGGUUGUUGGAGGAUUCGGAAGUGAUGCGUGUGAUGUGUUAGCUGUGCAUAGUAAUGGCUUGCGUUCUCACACGUGUCUAGUGUUCCCUUGGAUGCGGUGCAUGCGGCGAACGUGGGCUGACCAGUUUGUCCCGUUGAGUCCCUUUGAUUUAUCGGUUCCCUUGAAUGACACUUUGCCGUGGUGUCGGUCUUGCUUAACCAUCCGUGGUGGCAACACUGGCACGUGGAACAAAGUCGUUGAUG
This 480-nucleotide unclassified non-coding RNA is filed under the name Lupinus vavilovii. RNAcentral describes it as "partial external transcribed spacer". Lineage: Eukaryota; Viridiplantae; Streptophyta; Magnoliopsida; Fabales; Fabaceae. The record is from RNAcentral.